This 620-nucleotide ribosomal RNA is filed under the name Alcaligenes phenolicus. Its description in RNAcentral is "bacterial SSU rRNA". It matches the Rfam family "Bacterial small subunit ribosomal RNA", at positions 78 to 695 of the family's 1533-position model. Lineage: Bacteria; Pseudomonadati; Pseudomonadota; Betaproteobacteria; Burkholderiales; Alcaligenaceae. The record is from RNAcentral.
GCUCUCUUGGCGGCGAGUGGCGGACGGGUGAGUAAUAUAUCGGAACGUGCCCAGUAGCGGGGGAUAACUACUCGAAAGAGUGGCUAAUACCGCAUACGCCCUACGGGGGAAAGGGGGGGAUCGCAAGACCUCUCACUAUUGGAGCGGCCGAUAUCGGAUUAGCUAGUUGGUGGGGUAAAGGCUCACCAAGGCAACGAUCCGUAGCUGGUUUGAGAGGACGACCAGCCACACUGGGACUGAGACACGGCCCAGACUCCUACGGGAGGCAGCAGUGGGGAAUUUUGGACAAUGGGGGAAACCCUGAUCCAGCCAUCCCGCGUGUAUGAUGAAGGCCUUCGGGUUGUAAAGUACUUUUGGCAGAGAAGAAAAGGUAUCUCCUAAUACGAGAUACUGCUGACGGUAUCUGCAGAAUAAGCACCGGCUAACUACGUGCCAGCAGCCGCGGUAAUACGUAGGGUGCAAGCGUUAAUCGGAAUUACUGGGCGUAAAGCGUGUGUAGGCGGUUCGGAAAGAAAGAUGUGAAAUCCCAGGGCUCAACCUUGGAACUGCAUUUUUAACUGCCGAGCUAGAGUAUGUCAGAGGGGGGUAGAAUUCCACGUGUAGCAGUGAAAUGCGUAGAU